This 425-nucleotide ribosomal RNA is filed under the name uncultured bacterium. RNAcentral's name for it is "partial 16S ribosomal RNA". It matches the Rfam family "Bacterial small subunit ribosomal RNA", at positions 354 to 796 of the family's 1533-position model. The record is from RNAcentral.
GUGGGGAAUAUUGGACAAUGGGCGAAAGCCUGAUCCAGCAAUGCCGCGUGAGUGAUGAAGGCCCUAGGGUUGUAAAGCUCUUUUACCAGGGAUGAUAAUGACAGUACCUGGAGAAUAAGCUCCGGCUAACUCCGUGCCAGCAGCCGCGGUAAUACGGAGGGAGCUAGCGUUGUUCGGAAUUACUGGGCGUAAAGCGCGCGUAGGCGGUUUUUUAAGUCAGAGGUGAAAGCCCGGGGCUCAACCCCGGAAUUGCCUUUGAAACUGGAAAACUUGAAUCUUGGAGAGGUCAGUGGAAUUCCGAGUGUAGAGGUGAAAUUCGUAGAUAUUCGGAAGAACACCAGUGGCGAAGGCGACUGACUGGACAAGUAUUGACGCUGAGGUGCGAAAGCGUGGGGAGCAAACAGGAUUAGAUACCCGAGUAGUCC